This 253-nucleotide ribosomal RNA is filed under the name uncultured bacterium. RNAcentral's name for it is "partial 16S ribosomal RNA". It matches the Rfam family "Bacterial small subunit ribosomal RNA", at positions 524 to 776 of the family's 1533-position model. The record is from RNAcentral.
UACGAAGGGGGCUAGCGUUGCUCGGAAUCACUGGGCGUAAAGCGCACGUAGGCGGAUCUUUAAGUCAGGGGUGAAAUCCCAAGGCUCAACCUUGGAACUGCCUUUGAUACUGGCGAGCUUGAGUCCGGGAGAGGUGAGUGGAACUGCGAGUGUAGAGGUGAAAUUCGUAGAUAUUCGCAAGAACACCAGUGGCGAAGGCGGCUCACUGGCCCGGUACUGACGCUGAGGUGCGAAAGCGUGGGGAGCAAACAGG